Molecule: ribosomal RNA, 458 nt
Filed under: uncultured bacterium
Lineage: Bacteria
Description: partial 16S ribosomal RNA
Rfam family: Bacterial small subunit ribosomal RNA
Source: RNAcentral
CCUACGGGAGGCAGCAGUGAGGAAUAUUGGUCAAUGGGCGAGAGCCUGAACCAGCCAAGUCGCGUGAGGGAGUACUGCCCUAUGGGUUGUAAACCUCUUUUGUCGGGGAGCAAAAGCCGGACGUGUCCGGCUGUGAGAGUACCCGAAGAAAAAGCAUCGGCUAACUCCGUGCCAGCAGCCGCGGUAAUACGGAGGAUGCGAGCGUUAUCCGGAUUUAUUGGGUUUAAAGGGUGCGCAGGCGGAUUUUUAAGUCAGCGGUAAAAUCGUGGGGCUCAACCCCAUCCAGCCGUUGAAACUGGGGAUCUAGAGUGUGCGAGAGGUAUGCGGAAUGCGUGGUGUAGCGGUGAAAUGCAUAGAUAUCACGCAGAGCCCCGAUUGCGAAGGCAGCAUACCGGUGCACAACUGACGCUCAGGCACGAAAGCGUGGGUAUCGAACAGGAUUAGAUACCCUGGUAGUC